This is a long non-coding RNA of Cicer arietinum (chickpea), 897 nucleotides long. RefSeq lists it as uncharacterized. NCBI's taxonomy places the organism in Eukaryota, Viridiplantae, Streptophyta, Magnoliopsida, Fabales, Fabaceae. The record is from RefSeq and is a predicted model, not a curated record.
AUAAUGAAUCUGAUUUUGCAAUCAUUUUAAAAACAUUAACUGCGUUACAAAGAAGGAAUCUCCAAUCUAUGGCAGAUACGAAGCGGAAAAGAUACAUCAAACAGGCUGGGAGAUCACAACAGCUUCAUCAAAGUUAGCAGAGUGCCAAGAAACAAUUGUCAAUCUUGGGAAACAACUCAAGGCACUUGCUUCAUCUAGUGAAACAGCACUUCUUGAUAAGGUUGUCUCCACAAAUAGUUAUAUGGUUAAUCCAUCUCAGAAGAAGAACUUGAUCAAAAAACGAUCCUCGCUGCGCACCCAUAUGCUAGCUGAGGAUGAUGCUAAAGAAGAGAUACAUACGUCUGUCCAAAACGAAGAAAGCAAAAGUAUUGAAGAUGCACAGAGACCGUCCCUUCUUCAACCAGAAACAGAAACUGCUCUGCAAACUCCUCUCGUCAUGGAUAAUGCACCAGAAAUACCUAUGACCUCAGAGAAAAAUGAUAGAAGCAAGGCCACAGGAUAUCUGUCAAUUGUGCCGAGAAAAAAACACAGCGGCUUUGAAUUUCUGAGGCGGCUGUUGUCAAGACAAAAGAAGAGUAAAGGAACUAAGCUAUUAGGGAUAGCAUGAUUAAGAAUGGACAUAAAACCUCCCCUCAAGAGUGGUAUUCGAAAGGAAGUUUAUUUGGUGUUUUUAGCUUGCAAUGGCUUCUUUGAUUAUUGAGGUUUGGAUCGGAGGCCAACGUGUGAGAUUUUCUCUUGUAGAUACUGCUGGUGUACUUGUAUAUAUACAUUGCUUUUGUGGUGGUAUUUCAGAUUAAACGCGCUGAUAUAUAUAUACAUAUAUAUGGAACGUGCUUGUGUUUGCAAAGACUGUGUUAAGCCAAAAAAAUAACAAAGAUUAUUCUUCAUUAUUACUUA